UACGGAGGGGGCUAGCGUUGUUCGGAAUUACUGGGCGUAAAGCGCACGUAGGCGGACUGGAAAGUCAGGGGUGAAAUCCCGGGGCUCAACCCCGGAACUGCCUUUGAAACUCCCGGUCUUGAGGUCGAGAGAGGUGAGUAGAAUUCCGAGUGUAGAGGUGAAAUUCGUAGAUAUUCGGAGGAACACCAGUGGCGAAGGGGGCUCACUGGCUCGAUACUGACGUUGAGGUGCGAAAGCGUGGGGAGCAAACAGG
RNAcentral lists this ribosomal RNA (253 nucleotides) under uncultured bacterium. Its description in RNAcentral is "partial 16S ribosomal RNA". It matches the Rfam family "Bacterial small subunit ribosomal RNA", at positions 524 to 776 of the family's 1533-position model. The record is from RNAcentral.